Molecule: ribosomal RNA, 505 nt
Filed under: uncultured bacterium
Lineage: Bacteria
Description: partial 16S ribosomal RNA
Rfam family: Bacterial small subunit ribosomal RNA
Source: RNAcentral
GACGAACGCUGGCGGCGUGCCUAAUACAUGCAAGUAGAACGCACAGUUUAUACCGUAGCUUGCUACACCAUAGACUGUGAGUUGCGAACGGGUGAGUAACGCGUAGGUAACCUGCCUGGUAGCGGGGGAUAACUAUUGGAAACGAUAUCUAAUACCGCAUAAUAUUAAUUAUUGCAUGAUAAUUAAUUGAAAGGUGCAAUUGCACCACUACCAGAUGGACCUGCGUUGUAUUAGCUAGUAGGGGAGGUAACGGCUCACCUAGGCGACGAUACAUAGCCUACCUCAGAGAGUGAGAGGAGACACUGGGAAGGAGACACGGCCCAGAGACCUACGGGAGGCAGAAGAAGGGAAUAUUCGGCAAUGGACGAAAGUGUGACCGAGAAACGCAGCGUGAGGGAAGAAGAGUUUCGGAUCGUAAAGAUCUGUUGUAAGAGAAGAACGGGUGUGAGAGUGGAAAGUUCACACUGUGACGGUAUCUUAAAAGAAAGGGACGGCUAACUACGGG